Molecule: unclassified non-coding RNA, 368 nt
Filed under: soil metagenome
Description: partial contains 5.8S ribosomal RNA, internal transcribed spacer 2, and large subunit ribosomal RNA
Rfam family: 5.8S ribosomal RNA (bases 1-120)
Source: RNAcentral
GAUGAAGAACGUAGCGAAAUGCGAUAAGUAAUGUGAAUUGCAGAAUUCAGUGAACCAUCGAAUCUUUGAACGCACAUUGCGCCCGGCAGUAAUCUGCCGGGCAUGCCUGUCCGAGCGUCAUUUCUGCCCUCGAGCCUGUCCAGCAUCUAGGUGCUGUUCCGGCCCGGCGUUGGGGCACUACGGGAAGCCUCGUGCUAUCCCCCGUAGGCCCCGAAAUGAAGUGGCGGUCCUGCCGCGGCUCCCCCUGCGUAGUAUUACAGCUCGCUUCGGGACCCGGUGGAGGCCUGCCGUCAAACCUUACUCUCUAAGUUUGACCUCGGAUCAGGUAGGGUUACCCGCUGAACUUAAGCAUAUCAAUAAGCGGAGGA